CUUCGAGCACCCCUUUCUCCUCAUCCCGCCUCCAGAGCCCUAGGCUCUGGGACUAGAAAGAUCUUUUCCCCGCAGGAAGCAAGAAGAUCACAACCCACCAACCUGAUGCUGUGAUUCACUUGACCGUCACAGCUUCGACUGAAAACCAGCAGGUCUAAAGCCUCGGGUACACGCAGGAAAACUGAGGAAAACUCAGAGGGGUCAGUGACUUCGCUAAGCGGCCGUUAUUUCUCCAACGACACUUACAUUUGAAGCUCACAGAACCAAUGCAUGAAGCCUCCAGUGUGGACCUGACAAAAACUGGUGGAGCCAGGGCUGGCACCCUGCAACUUCUGGCUGUUCCUUGAAGUUAAAAUGACCAUGGAAGUUCCACAUUUUGAACGGAUUCAGGACA
Chinchilla lanigera (long-tailed chinchilla) is the source of this 394-nucleotide long non-coding RNA. RefSeq lists it as uncharacterized. The record is from RefSeq and is a predicted model, not a curated record. Lineage: Eukaryota; Metazoa; Chordata; Mammalia; Rodentia; Chinchillidae. The transcript is spliced from 4 exons.